AACGAACGCUGGCGGCAUGCUUAACACAUGCAAGUCGAGCGAGAACUCCGGGUCUUUCCUCCGCUGACUGUGUCACCCGUCGGAACAUUCCCUUCUCUAUGGACUAGCUCUGGGAAACUGGUAGUAUUACCGUAUACGCCCUAUUAGGGAAGGAUUUAUUGAACAAGGAUCGUCCCGCGUUGGAUUAGGUUGUUGUUGGGGUAAUGGCUCACCAAGCCCCCGAUUCAUAGCUGGGUUGAGAGAAUGAUUAGCCACACUGGGACUGAGACCCGGCCCAGACUCCUACGGGAGGCAGCAGUGGGGAAUCUUAGACAAUGGGGGCAACCAUGAUCUAGCCAUGCCGCGUGAGUGAUGAAGGCAUUAGGGUUGUAAAGCGCUAUCAGCUGGGAAGAUAAUGACGGUACCAGCAGAAGAAGCCCCGGCUAACUACGUG
RNAcentral lists this ribosomal RNA (433 nucleotides) under uncultured bacterium. RNAcentral describes it as "partial 16S ribosomal RNA". It matches the Rfam family "Bacterial small subunit ribosomal RNA", at positions 29 to 507 of the family's 1533-position model. The record is from RNAcentral.